Molecule: ribosomal RNA, 449 nt
Filed under: uncultured bacterium
Lineage: Bacteria
Description: partial 16S ribosomal RNA
Rfam family: Bacterial small subunit ribosomal RNA
Source: RNAcentral
AACGAACGCUGGCGGCAUGCCUAACACAUGCAAGUCGAACGAAGGCUUCGGCCUUAGUGGCGCACGGGUGCGGAACGCGUGGGAAUCUGCCCCUCGGUUCGGAAUAACAGUUAGAAAUGACUGCUAAUACCGGAUGAUGACUUCGGUCCAAAGAUUUAUCGCCGAGGGAUGAGCCCGCGUAAGAUUAGGUAGUUGGUGGGGUAAAGGCCUACCAAGCCGACGAUCUUUAGCUGGUCUGAGAGGAUGAUCAGCAACACUGGGACUGAGACACGGGACAGAAUCGUACGGGAGGCAGAAGUGGGGAAUAUUGGACAAUCGGCGAAAGCUUGAUCCAGCAAUGCCGCGUGAGUGAUGAAUGCCUUAGGGUUGUAAAGCUCUUUUACCAGGGAUGAUAAUGACAGUACCUGGAGAAUAAGCUCCGGCUAACUCCGUGCCAGCCGCCGCUGUAA